This 204-nucleotide ribosomal RNA is filed under the name uncultured bacterium. RNAcentral describes it as "partial 16S ribosomal RNA". The record is from RNAcentral.
CUGCUGCCUCCCGUAGGAGUUUGGGCCGUGUCUCAGUCCCAAUGUGGCCGUCCACCCUCUCAGGCCGGCUACUGAUCGCUGCCUUGGUGGGCCGUUACCCCGCCAACUAGCUAAUCAGACGCGGAUCCAUCGUAUACCACCGGAGUUUUUCACACUGCCCCAUGCGGAGCCGUGCGCUUAUGCGGUAUUAGCACCUAUUUCUAA